Molecule: long non-coding RNA, 235 nt
Filed under: Lathyrus oleraceus (garden pea)
Lineage: Eukaryota; Viridiplantae; Streptophyta; Magnoliopsida; Fabales; Fabaceae
Description: Pisum sativum (pea) long non-coding RNA (PSAT_LNC003342)
Source: RNAcentral
UUUUUUAUUUUUUUAUUUUUGUGGGUUUUAUCGAUAUUUCCCUUUUCCCUCUUUGGGAAUAAAUAAAGUUCGGUGGCGACUCUGUUUUAUUUAUAUUUCGAGCGUUCCCUACGCUUGGGUAUUUUUCGCGCCGCAACAGCUGGCGACUCUGCUGGGGACACCUUUUUCUCCUAUGCGAGUCCACCCUAAUUUAGUUUGUUUUGUGUUUGAGUUUUUGCUUUUAUCUGUUUGUUUG